GGGCAGGUGUCCGAGUGGUUAAAGGAAACGGACUGUAACUCCGUUCGCGUAAGCGUACACAGGUUCGAACCCUGUCCUGCCCA
RNAcentral lists this transfer RNA (83 nucleotides) under Armatimonadota bacterium. RNAcentral describes it as "Armatimonadetes bacterium (glacier metagenome) tRNA-Tyr". It matches the Rfam family "tRNA". Rfam says of the family: Transfer RNA (tRNA) molecules are approximately 80 nucleotides in length. Lineage: Bacteria; Bacillati; Armatimonadota. The record is from RNAcentral.